Molecule: non-coding RNA, 75 nt
Organism: Harpegnathos saltator (Jerdon's jumping ant)
Lineage: Eukaryota; Metazoa; Arthropoda; Insecta; Hymenoptera; Formicidae
Source: Rfam
CGUCAGAUAGCUCAGUGGUCUAGAGCAGUCGCCCGGCAAGCGAAAAAGACCCCGGUUCGAUUCCCGGUCUAGCGA